CCGAACAGCCAAUCAAAACCGAGGUUUGUUUCAUGCACGAGCUGUUCUUGCCCACCCCCCGUCCCUGCCCGCGCAGCCGAGGUAGCAUGCUCUCGUUCAAACAGUAAGCUAGCUGAGCUAGCUGAGUGAAGCUGACCCCUCCAACAACCUACACCCUACAACCUGGAUUGGAGCCUGUUCUGAAACCCAACACAGGGAAACAGAAGAAGACCCAGGAAUAAAUCCAAGUUGAAAAGAAAGAAUUAGAUCGAGCCCAGAAGAAAAUGAGGUGGAUUUCACAGGAGGAAGAGGAGGGAUGCAGAGUUAGCCAUUUCUGCUUGACAAAUGUCUGGAUGUUUAUUUGGCUAACAACAACAACCAAACUGCAGAUGACCACACAUCAUUUCCCGGUCCAUUCCAGUGUUGUUGGUAACGCAGAUCGAGAAGCUGACUUUGGGGGAGGUCUGAGACGCAGUGGAUUCUGGGAGACUCCUAUGCAGGCUUUGUAAAAUAGGUAAGUCAUAAACUGUGUCGAGAUGAAUUUUUUGGACUGCAACUGUUGUAGCUCUGAUGUUCAUCUUAAUUGUAGGACAAAGGGAAAUAUUUGAUGGUAAGUUUGGUGGUUUAUUCAAUGCAACAGAUUUUAAACUGACAAACUGUGGGAGACAGA
Austrofundulus limnaeus is the source of this 649-nucleotide long non-coding RNA. RefSeq lists it as uncharacterized. Lineage: Eukaryota; Metazoa; Chordata; Actinopteri; Cyprinodontiformes; Rivulidae. The transcript has 3 exons. The record is from RefSeq and is a predicted model, not a curated record.